Molecule: ribosomal RNA, 519 nt
Filed under: uncultured Glomus
Lineage: Eukaryota; Fungi; Glomeromycota; Glomeromycetes; Glomerales; Glomeraceae
Description: SSU rRNA
Rfam family: Eukaryotic small subunit ribosomal RNA
Source: RNAcentral
CCAAUAGCGUAUAUUAAAGUUGCUGCAGUUAAAAAGCUCGUAGUUGAAUUUCGGGAUCAAUAUGUUGGUCGUGCCUCGGUACGUACUAGCUUAUUGGUUUCUUCCUUCUGACGAACCAUAAUGUCAUUUAUUUGGUGUUAUGGGGAAUCAGGACUGUUACUUUGAAAAAAUUAGAGUGUUUAAAGCAGGCUCACGCUUGAAUACAUUAGCAUGGAAUAAUGAAAUAGGACGUUUGAUUCUAUUUUGUUGGUUUCUAGGAUCGACGUAAUGAUUAAUAGGGAUAGUUGGGGGCAUUAGUAUUCAAUUGUCAGAGGUGAAAUUCUUGGAUUUAUUGAAGACUAACUACUGCGAAAGCAUUUGCCAAGGAUGUUUUCAUUAAUCAAGAACGAAAGUUAGGGGAUCGAAGACGAUCAGAUACCGUCGUAGUCUUAACCAUAAACUAUGCCGACUAGGGAUCGGAUGAUGUUAAUUUUUUAAUGACUCAUUCGGCGCCUUACGGGAAACAAAGUGUUUGGGUUC